RNAcentral lists this ribosomal RNA (1554 nucleotides) under Staphylococcus aureus. RNAcentral describes it as "16S ribosomal RNA". It matches the Rfam family "Bacterial small subunit ribosomal RNA". Lineage: Bacteria; Bacillati; Bacillota; Bacilli; Caryophanales; Staphylococcaceae. The record is from RNAcentral.
UUUAUGGAGAGUUUGAUCCUGGCUCAGGAUGAACGCUGGCGGCGUGCCUAAUACAUGCAAGUCGAGCGAACGGACGAGAAGCUUGCUUCUCUGAUGUUAGCGGCGGACGGGUGAGUAACACGUGGAUAACCUACCUAUAAGACUGGGAUAACUUCGGGAAACCGGAGCUAAUACCGGAUGAUAUUUUGAACCGCAUGGUUCAAAAGUGAAAGACGGUCUUGCUGUCACUUAUAGAUGGAUCCGCGCUGCAUUAGCUAGUUGGUAAGGUAACGGCUUACCAAGGCAACGAUGCAUAGCCGACCUGAGAGGGUGAUCGGCCACACUGGAACUGAGACACGGUCCAGACUCCUACGGGAGGCAGCAGUAGGGAAUCUUCCGCAAUGGGCGAAAGCCUGACGGAGCAACGCCGCGUGAGUGAUGAAGGUCUUCGGAUCGUAAAACUCUGUUAUUAGGGAAGAACAUAUGUGUAAGUAACUGUGCACAUCUUGACGGUACCUAAUCAGAAAGCCACGGCUAACUACGUGCCAGCAGCCGCGGUAAUACGUAGGUGGCAAGCGUUAUCCGGAAUUAUUGGGCGUAAAGCGCGCGUAGGCGGUUUUUUAAGUCUGAUGUGAAAGCCCACGGCUCAACCGUGGAGGGUCAUUGGAAACUGGAAAACUUGAGUGCAGAAGAGGAAAGUGGAAUUCCAUGUGUAGCGGUGAAAUGCGCAGAGAUAUGGAGGAACACCAGUGGCGAAGGCGACUUUCUGGUCUGUAACUGACGCUGAUGUGCGAAAGCGUGGGGAUCAAACAGGAUUAGAUACCCUGGUAGUCCACGCCGUAAACGAUGAGUGCUAAGUGUUAGGGGGUUUCCGCCCCUUAGUGCUGCAGCUAACGCAUUAAGCACUCCGCCUGGGGAGUACGACCGCAAGGUUGAAACUCAAAGGAAUUGACGGGGACCCGCACAAGCGGUGGAGCAUGUGGUUUAAUUCGAAGCAACGCGAAGAACCUUACCAAAUCUUGACAUCCUUUGACAACUCUAGAGAUAGAGCCUUCCCCUUCGGGGGACAAAGUGACAGGUGGUGCAUGGUUGUCGUCAGCUCGUGUCGUGAGAUGUUGGGUUAAGUCCCGCAACGAGCGCAACCCUUAAGCUUAGUUGCCAUCAUUAAGUUGGGCACUCUAAGUUGACUGCCAGUGACAAACCGGAGGAAGGUGGGGAUGACGUCAAAUCAUCAUGCCCCUUAUGAUUUGGGCUACACACGUGCUACAAUGGACAAUACAAAGGGCAGCGAAACCGCGAGGUCAAGCAAAUCCCAUAAAGUUGUUCUCAGUUCGGAUUGUAGUCUGCAACUCGACUACAUGAAGCUGGAAUCGCUAGUAAUCGUAGAUCAGCAUGCUACGGUGAAUACGUUCCCGGGUCUUGUACACACCGCCCGUCACACCACGAGAGUUUGUAACACCCGAAGCCGGUGGAGUAACCUUUUAGGAGCUAGCCGUCGAAGGUGGGACAAAUGAUUGGGGUGAAGUCGUAACAAGGUAGCCGUAUCGGAAGGUGCGGCUGGAUCACCUCCUUUCU